Molecule: long non-coding RNA, 530 nt
Organism: Pieris brassicae (large cabbage white)
Lineage: Eukaryota; Metazoa; Arthropoda; Insecta; Lepidoptera; Pieridae
Exons: 3
Source: RefSeq, a predicted model, not a curated record
CACAGCAAUAUAUCCAAUUUCACGCAAGAAUAAACUUUGAUAGUGGUUUCGAAGUUAUGUUCAAAUAUAGAAUUUUUAGUGUCUCGCAGACGCCUCGGGGACUACCUGACUUUGGAAGUUUAUUUUUUCGCAAUAUAAAACGCCAGAAACACACCCACUAACAUGGACAUGUACUGCGGUAGCUGCAUUGUAUGGUUGUUCCCUAUUCGUUUGUCCCAUCGUAUAAAACACAAAGGUGCACCUGCACAUUCUCAUCUGUUCCCAUUAUAUACGUUACCAGCAAUAUCUACGUUAUCGAGCUGUAGACGUUAUCCAUAUUCCUAAAGCCUGGGGAUGAAAGCUGUCGCUGCAAAGCUCAAGUCAGCAUAAUUGAGAAGUCUUUUUUCAUAAAGGAUCUUGGAUACUUUAUAUUAAGAAAUCAAAGUGUAUAUUUUUUUAUUAUUUCGGAUCUGACUAUUUCAGAUUGCUUCAUUGCAACCUCAAAAUAAGUAUAGGAUAAAAUACCCAUUUCUCAAAUUCGCGUUUUUAUA